Molecule: long non-coding RNA, 4351 nt
Organism: Mustela lutreola (European mink)
Lineage: Eukaryota; Metazoa; Chordata; Mammalia; Carnivora; Mustelidae
Exons: 3
Source: RefSeq, a predicted model, not a curated record
UUCCACAGGCACAGGCACCCCUGACCGCCUUAAAAAAGAAUGUUGCUUUUAUGCAGAUCAAACUGGAGUAGUCAGAGAAACUAUGGAUAAACUCAGAGAAAGACUUGCUCAAAGAAAAAGGGAUUUUCAGUCCCAGCAGGGAUAGUUCGAAAACUGGUUCAACAGAUCGCCUUGGCUUACUACUUUGUUGUCAUCUAUAAGGGGCCCUCUCAUCAUUCUGUUAUUAACUCUAACUUUUGGUCCUUGUGUCUUAAACAGGUUAGUACAAUUCAUUAAAGAUCGCCUGUCUGUUGUUCAGACUAUGGUCUUGACUCAGCAAUACCAACUACUUAAACAAGUAGAGUCCCAAAAGGACUCAAUUGAAGAACAAAACAGAUGGAUAUAAGAUUAUAUCCAUGUUAAAGAAAAAGGGGGGAAUGAAGGACCCCAGGUCAGAAUUAUACUAUAGCCUAUAAGUUUUAACAUUCUUUUUAUGACCAGCUUAUGCUAACUGAGAAACUGUAGCUAGCUGACGAUAGAUAAGGGAGUCAGCAAGCAGCAUAACAGGAUAACGAAUAGCGAAAAUCUGUGUUUAACCCGGCUGUUUCUGGCUUCUGUAUAAUAAUGCUUCUAAUGCUUUGCUAAGAAAUGAAAAAUUGCUUAAACCCUCAACUCUAAGGAGCGGGAGGCUGGCUGAGGACAAAGCGAAAGCUGGCGCCUUGCACCCCCCCCCUUCACCCACUCCCCUUGGUAACAUGUGUGACAUUUCACAGGCACCCCUGACUGCCCUACAAGAAGAGCAAAUGGUUAUCUUGCAGAGAUCACAGUCCUGCAAGGCAGGAGUCUCUCUUGGUUUACAAAUGUCCUUGAGAUUUACAACAAAGAAGUAGCCUUAUCAAUAGCUCAAUUUCCAAAGACACAUAACUCAGUUUCUCAAGCCCUAACGUCACCCUCCCCUCCAUAAAAAACCGAAGGAGAUGGAGGUAGAAGGAAAAGUAAAUAAAGUUAAAUUUCUUUUAAGACCUAAAUCUCACUAACAAGGACAUUUGAUAGCAGGAAUGUAACAUUCCACCAGGAGACUCCCAAUUGUCUUUAUGUUAGUGCCUCAUUAGAGGGAAUGUGGCCUUGGCUUGAUAGUAACCAGGCCUUCAAUAUCCUGAUAGUGCUUUCAUUCGCAUGCGUGGGCUAAUCGGCCAGUUCUGCUUCUGUAAGAUUGCUUUGUCUGCUUUCGCGCGCUGUCCCCUGACCCAAUUCACUGACGCCAAGUAUGCCUGUUCAAACUGUCAACCAAUCAGCUCAGCCCCACCCGAAACUUGUUUGUACCUGUCUAUAAAAAUCCUGCACUACCCCAGCCGGGUGUGCUCGGUUAGCUGGAGCUGCCGACCACCCGCCGGUACCUGUGUGACAAUAAACCUCUUGCUGUUUGCAUCCAGUGGCAGUGUUGGAUUCUUGGGUAAGGGGAUCCGCGGGUCUUUCAUUUGGAGGUCCCACCGAGAUCAUCGGACUCCUGCCCACGGAUCCAACUGACUCCCACCGGGAGGUAAGCUGGCCAGUAUUCUUGUCUCCUGUCUCAUGUUCUUGUUUGUAUCCAGUCUCGUGUUCUCGUUUGUAGGCCUCUGUUUUGCCUAUGCUUCGGUAGCAUAGGAUUGUACAACAGCGUGCGUUGUUGGUCUGUAUUCUGUAGGCAGCUUGAGAAGGAGCUGACGAGCUCGGACUUCUCCCCUGCCAACCCUGGGGGACGCUCCAGGGUGUCGAGGGGCCCAAUUUUUUGGGGCCCCUCAUCUGUCCGAGGGUUAUAUCCGUCUGUCCGUUCCAGAGGUGCCUCGGCUCUGGACGGAGUCUGUCCACCGCAGGGAGAUCUCGAGGCUCCCUGGGCUGGUGGAAACCAUUCUUUCGGUAGUAUACCGAAACCGCGCAGCGACCUUUUUGUUAAUUGUUUUGUGUGUUCUACUCGUUGUCCUUGGUGUUUUCUUUGAUUCUAAAAUGGGGCUUCUCCCUCAUUCACUUCCCGUGUUAAUGGCUAUUACUGGAGCCAACUGGGGUUGGUCUAACUCGAGACAGAGACUAUAAGGAAUAUUCCCAAGCAGCUGCCGAAACUCUCUUUGUUUCGGGGAAGUUUCCCUGUGUUCUCUGGCCUGACUUAGACUGCUUUACCCCUCCCCCCUUGCUGGUGGGAAAGCAUGUUGUCUGCUCCUAUGUUGGGGCUUAGGAGCUCCAAAACCGGGAAUCCUUUCUCUGCCUCCUGGCAGCACUUUGUUUCUUCUGUUUCCCCCUUCUCCUGUUUCUGUGCACCAGCGUGCGUGCAGCCUGCAUGACUAGCCUCUAGAUCAUGCACCAUGGCUCCUUCUCUCUUCACUGUCAAGGAGCAAGAAGAACACCCCCACUCCAGAUCUUCCCACGCACGUCUCAGGACACCAUUGAGAACUGGUUAUUUUACCAAGGCUUUGACUGGGAUGUCAUAUUUGAAAAGACUCAGAUAUGACCAGACAGUUUAAAGGAACUAAGGUUGACUUUAUGAAACCUGGAGCCAUAAAGCCCCUUGGGACUGACUGUUGGCCUGAUACCUUGCUUACAGAGUUCCCAGCAGCCUCACCAGUGUUUCUCUACUUGGCGCCGAGACUCCAUUGCUGCAAUGACUUCACCACGACAGAUGAUCCUUACCACGCGCAAAGACACUCCUUCACUGUCAGCGCUGGAUUCGGCUGCCUCCGCCUUUCGUAACUCCCCUAUACAUUCCUCCACUGAUCAAUAUUGACCCCAGUAGGUAGGGACAGCUCUACGCCCCUAUUCAGCAGGAAGAAGUUACAGAAGAUGAGACCUUCCACCUUCAACCACCUUAAAGAUUUAAGAGUCAAAAUUGUUCAGGGGGAAAUGAUGAGGAAGCAGGAGGCUGGCUGAGGAUGGAGAAGGGGCUGAUGCCUUGCACUCCCUCUCCACCCACUCCCCUUGGUAAUAUAUGUGACAUUCCACAGGCACAGGCACCCCUGACCGCCUUAAAAAAGAAUGUUGCUUUUAUGCAGAUCAAACUGGAGUAGUCAGAGAAACUAUGGAUAAACUCAGAGAAAGACUUGCUCAAAGAAAAAGGGAUUUUCAGUCCCAGCAGGGAUAGUUCGAAAACUGGUUCAACAGAUCGCCUUGGCUUACUACUUUGUUGUCAUCUAUAAGGGGCCCUCUCAUCAUUCUGUUAUUAACUCUAACUUUUGGUCCUUGUGUCUUAAACAGGUUAGUACAAUUCAUUAAAGAUCGCCUGUCUGUUGUUCAGACUAUGGUCUUGACUCAGCAAUACCAACUACUUAAACAAGUAGAGUCCCAAAAGGACUCAAUUGAAGAACAAAACAGAUGGAUAUAAGAUUAUAUCCAUGUUAAAGAAAAAGGGGGGAAUGAAGGACCCCAGGUCAGAAUUAUACUAUAGCCUAUAAGUUUUAACAUUCUUUUUAUGACCAGCUUAUGCUAACUGAGAAACUGUAGCUAGCUGACGAUAGAUAAGGGAGUCAGCAAGCAGCAUAACAGGAUAACGAAUAGCGAAAAUCUGUGUUUAACCCGGCUGUUUCUGGCUUCUGUAUAAUAAUGCUUCUAAUGCUUUGCUAAGAAAUGAAAAAUUGCUUAAACCCUCAACUCUAAGGAGCGGGAGGCUGGCUGAGGACAAAGCGAAAGCUGGCGCCUUGCACCCCCCCCCUUCACCCACUCCCCUUGGUAACAUGUGUGACAUUUCACAGGCACCCCUGACUGCCCUACAAGAAGAGCAAAUGGUUAUCUUGCAGAGAUCACAGUCCUGCAAGGCAGGAGUCUCUCUUGGUUUACAAAUGUCCUUGAGAUUUACAACAAAGAAGUAGCCUUAUCAAUAGCUCAAUUUCCAAAGACACAUAACUCAGUUUCUCAAGCCCUAACGUCACCCUCCCCUCCAUAAAAAACCGAAGGAGAUGGAGGUAGAAGGAAAAGUAAAUAAAGUUAAAUUUCUUUUAAGACCUAAAUCUCACUAACAAGGACAUUUGAUAGCAGGAAUGUAACAUUCCACCAGGAGACUCCCAAUUGUCUUUAUGUUAGUGCCUCAUUAGAGGGAAUGUGGCCUUGGCUUGAUAGUAACCAGGCCUUCAAUAUCCUGAUAGUGCUUUCAUUCGCAUGCGUGGGCUAAUCGGCCAGUUCUGCUUCUGUAAGAUUGCUUUGUCUGCUUUCGCGCGCUGUCCCCUGACUCAAUUCACUGACGCCAAGUAUGCCUGUUCAAACUGUCAACCAAUCAGCUCAGCCCCACCCGAAACUUGUUUGUACCUGUCUAUAAAAAUCCUGCACUACCCCAGCCUGGUGUGCUCCGUUAGCUGGAGCUGCCGACCACCCGCCGGUACCUGUGUGACAAUAAACCUCUUGCUGUUUGCAU